This 459-nucleotide ribosomal RNA is filed under the name uncultured bacterium. RNAcentral's name for it is "partial 16S ribosomal RNA". It matches the Rfam family "Bacterial small subunit ribosomal RNA", at positions 338 to 795 of the family's 1533-position model. The record is from RNAcentral.
CCUACGGGUGGCAGCAGUGAGGAAUAUUGGUCAAUGGGCGAGAUCCUGAACCAGCCAAGCCGCGUGAGGGAAGACGGCCCUAUGGGUUGUAAACCUCUUUUGUCGGAGAACAAAACCCGGGACGCGUCCCCGACUGCGUGUACCCUAAGAAAAAGCAUCGGCUAACUCCGUGCCAGCAGCCGCGGUAAUACGGAGGAUGCGAGCGUUAUCCGGAUUUAUUGGGUUUAAAGGGUGCGUAGGCGGUCCGUUAAGUCAGCGGUAAAAGUGCGGGGCUCAACCCCGGCGAGCCGUUGAAACUGGCAGGCUGGAGUUGGCGAGAAGUACGCGGAAUGCGCGGUGUAGCGGUGAAAUGCAUAGAUAUCACGAAGAACUCCGAUUGCGAAGGCAGUUCACUGGACUGCAACUGACACUGAGGCUCGAAAGUGUGGGUAUCAAACAGGAUUAGAUACCCUGGUAGUC